Molecule: ribosomal RNA, 251 nt
Filed under: uncultured bacterium
Lineage: Bacteria
Also listed under: 1 other name
Description: partial 16S ribosomal RNA
Rfam family: Bacterial small subunit ribosomal RNA
Source: RNAcentral
ACGUAUGGUGCAAGCGUUAUCCGGAUUUACUGGGUGUAAAGGGAGCGUAGGUGGCAAGGCAAGCCAGAAGUGAAAACCCGGGGCUCAACCGCGGGAUUGCUUUUGGAACUGUCAUGCUAGAGUGCAGGAGGGGUGAGCGGAAUUCCUAGUGUAGCGGUGAAAUGCGUAGAUAUUAGGAGGAACACCGGAGGCGAAGGCGGCUCACUGGACUGUAACUGACACUGAGGCUCGAAAGCGUGGGGAGCAAACAG